UCGUUAUCUUAACUCAUUGCCAAAUUGUGGCCUAAUCACCCCUUGUGAUUUAGUCACAUUACAUGUGUUUAAAUGUGAUAACAUAUUUCAUCCUCACUAGCACAACUGAACACAAGUAUGCAUAAAAUUUAUAGGUCAUAACCUACAUCAAUAUGAGCCAAUUCCAUGGCCAUAUACAAGUGAAUAUGUAUACCUUUACAAGCCUUCGUAGUGGCUAAUCAAAUGACACAUAACAAAAUAACAAAAGCUCUAUACAUGUCAUUGAACAAAAUAAGAAUAUCUAUAUACCAAAGCUAGACAAGAUGAUAGUGUGUUGAUUCUCCAACCGUCUCCCAAUCUUCACGAGUCCACGAGCUCUGUAAGACAGGGAAAAAGAGAAGGAUAAGCAUUUACAUGCUUAGUAAGCCCGAACAACUAAAAAGUAAACUUAUUGAUUAAUUAGCAAACAACCAUAUUAGGCAAUAAAACCAACAAGCAUGGAAUGGUUUCCCUAUCAUAUACACCCAAUCAACAAGUUAGUCUCAUAACAAUGCACCAUGCAAUUUGUCUUAGAUGAGCUUAUCAUUCAACAUUUUCAUUUUUAUAUCUCAUGUUAAUCCCGUUGAGUUUCUCAGAAAUCUCGAUGGAUUAUCCAUUUACUGUCAAGUCAUAAGAGUGAUCAUCUCAAGUGCGCACUCCCGCGAACCUCACAUCAUACGACGAGAUUACCAGUUCAGGCUAAAUCUCCCGUAAUGUAAACUCAUAGGGUGAUGUCGGGAUUACCAGUCCAGGCUAAAUCCCUUGUAACGAUAAACACCCGUAAUGAGCUCGAAUCUGAAUUACCAAUCCAGGCUAAAUUCAGACCCUGAUUGGAUUACCUAUCCGGGCUAAAUUCGUAAUGCACACAUAUUCUUCGAGAGGCUCGAUCACUAAAUGAACACCCGUCCGGGCUAGAUCUUUUUUAUAUUUGAGAUCAAAAGAUUACCCGUCUGGGCUAAAUCCUUUUCUGAAACACAUGCAGGAUCUCAAGUCAUGUAAGCCAUGGUUUAUCCAUCAAAUUUCUCUUUUUACUUCAACCAGGACAUUUAUCAUCAUGUCAUUAUUAUUAACAUAUUUCAUGGAUUUUCAUGUCAUUAUUAUACCCAAAUAUCAUGCAUUCAUAACACAUGCAAUUAGCCAUAUUAAUAUUACUUAAAAUUUAUUCGAACUUACCUGGUACUCGUUUCGAUUUUGCAUCUCGGUUAUUCUGAAACCUUUCAUUUUCCUCGAUUGACCUCUGAAAUUUGUUCCUCGAGGUCUAUAAUAAUAAAAAUGAAUCAUUAAUACCUCAUAUUAUUCUUUUUGAGUCUAAAUUUCACCCCAGACAAAAUGAUCAUUUUUCCCCUAACCUUUCACAUUAUUUACAAUUUAGUCCCUAGACUCGUAUGAUGAAAUGCAUGAAUUUUCUACAUUACCCAAGCCUAGCCAAAUGUUCUUUCCUCUUAUGGCAGCCCACAUUUUUCCCUUAUUUCACAUUUCUACCACAUAUUCUGUAAUGCCCCUAACCCGAAUCCGUCACCGGAAUAGAGUUACGGAACAUUACCAGAGUUACCGAUUCAUUUAUCAGAUAUUUCAUUAAUCCGAUAUCUUUUCUUUUCCACGUUCAAGUCUCGUAUUCAAGUCAUCCGGAUCUUUAUAAAGAAAUUUGAUCGUCAUUUUCAUUUAUUUCAUGUUAUAAUACAUUCAACUAAUGCUCUAAACAAAAUUAUCAUUUUACCCCUAAACUUUUAAUUAAUGACGAUUUCAUCCUUAGGUUAAAAUAAAAUAAAAUUAUUGCAAUUUAAUCCUUAUUUUCAGCCGUUAUUCUCACACAAAUUGAUAACCACCAAUGAAUUCUAUAAAAUGUCAGAAUUUUCCAUAAUUUCAACACUUUUCAAUUUAAUCCUUAAAACAUAUUUUUCCCUGAUCUUGAGCUAAAUUAAUAAUUUCAUUCAAUUUUUUAAUUUAAAUAAUAAAAUAAUUCAUUUCAUGCAAAUUGGUCAUUUCUAACUUUUUUUUUACAAAAUUGCCCAUAAAAUUUUACUUUUAUUCAAUUUAGUCCAUGAGCCUAAAACAUACCAAUUAGCCAUGCUAGCUGAAUAUUCAUACAUAUUUUCCUCCUCCUCCUCUCCAUUCCACAUCCUUAAUUUAUAUAACAUGCAACAAGUAACAUUAUCAAUAAUUUCACUAUUUACUUAUGUAUAUUCAAAAUUGUCCAUUUGCGUCAUAAUCACUAAAUUAUUUAUAUCUUAAGCUACAGAACUCGAAAUUAAGAUCCGCUAAUUUUCCAUAAAACUAGACUUACUUAUCUUAUGACCAUAAAAUUUUCAAAAUUUUUGGUUUACCCAAUAAGUACAGUUUAUUCUUUAAAGUUUCUCCUGUUCUGCUGUCUGACAGUUCCGACCCUUCUUCACUAAGAAUUAAUUAUCUCAUCGUACGAGAUUCGGAUGAUGUUCCCGCUUAUUUUUAUUGAAAAUAGGCUCUUUAAGGAUUUUAAACAUAUAAAUUUAAUCCCUUAAUUAUUUUUCUCCAAUUUUUUAUGAUUUUCCAAAGUCAGAAUAGGGGAACCAGAAAUCAUUCUGACAUUGUCUCACAAAACUUAUUAUAUCUCAUGAUUUACAAUUCCGUUGCUUACACCGUUUCUUCUAUAAGAAACUAGACUCGAUAAGAUUUAAUUUCAUAUUUUAUUCAUCCUAUAAUUAAAUUUCUACAAUUUUUGGAGAUUUUUCAAAGUUAAGACUAUUGCUGCUGUCCAAAACUGUUUUAGUGCAAAAUGUUGAUUUUCAUUUUGCCCCAAAUUUCACAGUUCAUACAAUUCAGUCCUUACUUAAUUAACCCCUCAAUUAAAAUAAUUUUCUCAAUUAAUAAUUUUCCUAGACAUUAUAAGUUAUUUCAUAACUAUUGAAAUUCAGAAUUUCCACAUAAAACUCUAACUUCAAACUCUUUUACAAUUUAGGUCUCAAACAUUCACUUUCUAUUCAAUUCUUUCAAUAAAAUCAGCAUAUAAACAAUUUAAAGCUCUAAUUCUAUAUCAAAUCAUCAUAUACUUCCAGCACAUAUUCAUAGAAACUUUCAAUUUAUUUCAUAGAAUCAAGAACUAAUGAAUUCAACAAAUGGACCUAGUUGUAAAAGUCACAAAAACACAAAAAUUUCAAGAAAUAAUCAAGAAUUAAACUUAAUUGCAGUAAAAAUAUGAAAAACCAGCUUAAGGGAACUCUUCCAUGGUGUUUUUGUUGAUGAGAAUGCAGAAAAAUAAAGAGAAAUCUAGAUAAUUCCACUUUAGUCCUAGCUUUAUUAACUAAAUUUUGCAAUUUUUCAAUUUUGCCCUUAUUUUCUUGGUGAUUUCAUGCCCUUGCCGUCCAGCCCAAAUAGACCUUGGGUCUAUUUGCCUUUUAAACCCUCUUUCUUUUGUCAUUUAAGCUAUUUAAUCAUUUUUCACAAUUUUGCAUUUGAUACAAUUUAGUCCUUUUUGUUCAAUUAGCUAUCAGUACUUUAAAAUUUCUUGACGAAACUUUAAUACUAACUUAUUAACAAUCCAUAAAUAUUUAUAAAAAUAUUUAUGGCUCGAUUUAAAAUUCUCGAGGUCUCGAUACCUCGUUUUCAAUUCUAAUUAUUUUAAUAUAUAUAUUUUUUGUACAUUUCAUUAUUUCAAAAUUUUUCCUAACUUCACAUUUAACUUAUACUCACUAAAUUAAUAAUAUUUCUUACUCAUUUGUCGGAUUUAGUGAUCUCGAAUCACUGUUCCGACACCACUGAAAAUUAACUGUUACAUAUUUUACACCUUUUGCAAAAAGGUCAUUUUAGGGGUUUUUCAUGAAAAUCACCUAGAAAAAUAUGUUUAUCACACAUCCAACUUUCAUAUUCCUCCAUAAAAAUCAAACAAUAAACAUGUCACACAUGGAUCACUUUUCAAACAUGAACCCUAACUCAAAAUAGGGGUAGAAAUAGACAGAGUAAGCUACCGGAAUUUCAAAAAUACGAGAACAUUAAAAACAAGGGUAGGGAGCCCUUACUAUUAAGCUUGAAAAAUGAAAAAACCCUAACUAUGGUGGCUCCCAAAUUUUUGCAGCUAGGUGGAGAACAUGAGCCGAUUUUUGUCUUCAUUUUCCCAUUUUAUUUCAUUAAUUAGCCAAAUGACCAAAAUACCUUUAAGCCCUUUCUUUGAAAUUUUAUCCAUACAUGCCCAUUUUUGUUCAAAAAUUUAAAAAUUGGGCAAAUUACUCUUUAAGAAUCUAAGUUUUGUAAUUUUUUCAAUUUGGUCAUUAUUUUCCAAUUGGACACCUUACUCAUAGAAUUUCUUCAUGAAACUUUAACACUGCAUAUUUUCAUAUUCUAGACCUCAUAAUAAUCAUAUAAUAAAUAUUUGAACAUCGAAUUUGUGGUCUCAAAACCACUGUUCCGACUAGGCCUUAUUUUGGGAUGUUACAAUUUGGGGCGAAAUUUUAAUAAUGUCAAUUCAAUAUUAGGCUUUUUUUUGGAAGGAUCAUCAAAUUAAAGGGAGGCAAAAAAGGGGAGAGCUUCAAAUGGGUUAAGUCAAAAUGAAAUGGAACAUGAUUUAGAAGAAAGCCCAAUGGUAAUGGGGAUGGAUAAAACUAACCUCAUCCAAAUAAUAUGAUUUCUAAUGUUUCUGUUUGGACAGAUUUACUAGGAACUAUUACUGAGCACUCUAAUGCUUACAACCAAUUAAGAUCGACGCCUGCCAAGAGGCAAGUCGACUGGGAGCAAUGAUACUUUUAAGCUACAAUGUCUGGGGUUUGGGGAACCCGCAGGCUAUUCCAAAGCUUCAGCACACGUUGAAGUUUUAGCAUCCCCAACUUGUCUUCUUUAUGUAGACUAAAUUAAAUAGCAAAUAAAUGGAAAGGUUUCAUAAAAAAUGAGGUUUUCAAAACAAAAUUAAUUUCAAGAAGAUGGUAACGAGGUGGACUAUGUUUAACAUGGAAUUGGAAUUAUAUAAUUGAUGUUCGAAGUUAUUCAAUGAAUCAUAUUGAUGUGAUAAUACAGGAAGAGGGGGAGGCACUAAAGUAUGGGGGUUUUAUGAGGCUCGAGAUGGUUAUAAUAGAUUGGUAACUUGGGACUUGUUGCGAUGGCUAGGAGAAACUCAUGAUUUACCUCGGUUAGUUUGUAGAGAUUUUAAUAAGAUUUUGUAUUCUUUUUAGAAAUCAAGGGGAAUGCCGAGAGAAGAGAGGAGUAUAGAGGAAUUCCAUAAGGUGUUAGAGGAAUGUCAACUUACGGAUAUUGGCUAUUUAAGUACAUGGUCACUUGGUAGAGGGGAAAUUUACCGGAGAUGAAUACUAGAGAACGAUUGGAUAAGGGUGUGGCAAAUGCUGAAUGGAUGGUGAUGUUCACUAAUUUUUCUAUUUGACAUUUACUCUAUUCUUUUUUAGAUCAUUGUCCUCUUUUCAUUGAAACAAAUAAAAUAGACAAAAGACAAAGGAAAAGAAUAUUCAGAUUUAAGAAUUGAUGGGUUAUGAAGGAAUCUUGUGAAGAGGAAAUGAGAAGAAUAUGAGAGAAUGGCACAGGUGGGGUGUUGGAGAAAUUAAAGAUGUUAAAAAUAGGAUUACAAGAAUAGGAUACAUAAAAAAAACAAAGGAGUGAGGCUGACAAGAAAUCUUACUAAAAGGUUGGAGGAUCUGAAUAAGCUUGAUAGAGACGGUGAGAUAAUGGCAGAAUUGAUUGAUGUCAAAAUACACCAUCAUAUGAAUAUCAAAAAAGAAGAGAUGUACUGGGAACAAAGGGCACUUACGAACUGCUAAGAUUGGGUGAUAAAAACACGUCUUUUUUCCUUAAUUUUGAUUCUCAAUGAAGGAAUAUGAAUCGUGUUCGUGGAUUUUAGAAUGAAGAAGGAGAAUGACAUCAGACAUUCAUGAGAUGAAAAGAAUUGUUACUGAUUAUUUUGCUAACCUUUUCACUACAACAGGUACUGGCAAUGUGGAUUACAUUCUAUCUGGAGUGGAUAUAUGUAUAAUAGAUAGCAUGAAUUAGAUCCUAACUACUGUAUACAGAAAGAAUGAGGUUUAUCUGGCUUUAAAAAAUAUGGGGCCAACGAAGGCAUCAAGGGUAGAAGGUUUUCUGACUCUUUUCUUCCAAAAACUUUGGCACAUUAUUGGAAGGGAAGUUUGUACUUUUUGUCUUGAAAUCCUUAAUUUAGUUAUUGGAAUCUCUAAAUGUUACAAAUAUUGUGCUAAUUUCAAAUAUUAGUCAUCUUUCGAAUUUAAUGAAUUUUCGCCCUAUAAGCUUAUGAAUGAUUUUGUACAAAUGAUCUAAAAAAUGGUUGCCAAUCAUCUUUAAAAGGUGUUAGAUCACUGCAUUGAUGAAACGCAGAGUGCAUUUUUCCCAAGAAGAUUAAUAACGGACAAUGUUCUUCUUGCAUACGAGAUUUUACAUGCAUUUAAGCAAAAAAGGGUAGGGAGGAGAGGUUUUAUGACAUUGAAACUGGAUAUGAGUAUGGCUUAUGAUCGUGUUGAAUAGACUUUUAUAAGAGAUAUGAUGUUAUGCAUGGAUUUUGCAAACUCGUGGGUUUAUUUCAUAAUCAAAUGCAUAAGUAUUGUCUCAUACUCAAUUCUUGUGAACAGCGAAGAAGAAUAUGUUUUCAAAUCGGUAAGAGGAUUACGACAGAGGGACUCGUUGAGUCCCUAUUUUUUCAUCUCUAAUGAGACUAGCAAAACAUUAUGGUUCAUUAAACAGGGAAAAGGUAUGUCGAAGAGGUCCUUAAAUUUCUCAUUUAAUGUUUGUCGAUGAUUGUAUUUUGUUCAAGGAAGCCAUUGAAAGGGGGGCAAAUACUAUCAAGAAUAUACUUGAAGAAUAUAGAAGAUGUUUUGGGCAGUGUGUCAAUUAUGAAAAAGCUAGAUGUUUUGGGCAGUGUGUCAAUUAUGAAAAAUGUACUAUUUUUUAUAGUACAAAAGCUCCAGUUUAUGACAGAAAUUUUGUUGUAUGGAUACUAAAUGUUUGAGGGUUAAAAAAUCUAGAGAAAUAUGUCUAAUUGCCCAACAUGAUGGGAAGGGGAAAACAAUGAGCUUUUCAAAUAUUGAAGGACCGUAUGAAAUCAGAAAUUUAUAGUUAGAGGAAAGGAGGUAUUUAUAAAAGUUGUUUUACAGGCCAUCCCAACUUAUUCAAUGGCAUGUUUUCUACUACCAAAAUCCAUUUGUGGAGAAAUGGAAAGUAUUAUAGGGAAGUUUUUGUGGCAGAAAGGACACAAAAAGCAUGGAAUACACUAGUAUGAGUGGAUUCGAUUAUGUGACUUAAAGGAGAAUGGGGGUUUGGGGUUUAGGAGUCUAACCAAGUUUAAUUUAGCUUUGCAUACAAAACAAGGGUAAUUUGAAAGCAAAAUACUACCUUACUAUUAAUUUCUUAAAGGCAAGGUUUGGAAAUAUACCUUCCUACACCUAAAAAAGUGUAUGGGCUGCAAAAAGACUUCACAAUGAGGGUAUGUGUUGGAGAAUGGGUACGGGGACAAAAAUCUCGAUGUCAGAAGAUACGUGGGUGUUGGGCACUGAAAGCUAAAAAAUCCAAAGUGAUGUGAGCAAUACUAACAUCAAUGUAGUAGCAGACUUAAUUGAUCCUAUUUUGAGACGAUGGAAAAUGGAAACAAUAAGGGAUACCUACUGUGAGAGUGAUGUGAACAGAAUCCUCCAAAUUACUUUAGCAAUGUUUUUAGAAGAGGACUUCAUGGUGUGGAGAGGUGAACCUUCAAGAGAUUUUUCGUCCAAAUUACUGUGAGAGUGAUGGUACUUAAUCGCUAUUGCAAUCUAUUUGCCUAUUCUACUUUUUACUAGAAAUGAUGGGCUUUGAAUUUGCCUCAAAAAGUGAAAAUCACAUUUUGGAAAGCUACAAAAAAUUAUCUUCCUACUUUUAGUAAUUUCCAUUACAAGAGAUUGGUGGACUCUGUGAUUUGCCCGAGAUGUACAGGUGGUGCAGAGACUAUGGAGCAUGUAUUGCGUGAUUGUUCUGUGGCAAGAGAGAUUUGGCAACAAUUUAAUUUCAUAUGGCCAUAGUCGAUAACUAAUUCAAAGUUUAUAGACUAGAUUACCUGCAAUUUUUUAUCAGAACUCUACCAACCAGUGUCGAAUUUUUUAAUGUACAAUGUGCGCCACAUGGACCGAAAGAAAUAGAUAGGUGUAUGAGGGCCAGAAAAAGAUGAGGAUUGCUACAACUGAGUUUAUUAGAAGUUACCCUUAAAAGAUUGAUGGCCUGGAAAGAAAGGAAAAUGACCAUGGAAGGGGGUAAGAAUGAUGGAAAACGCCGGUAGUCCUAUACACGAAGAUUAAUUUUGACGCUGCAUAUACUGAACAAGCCAAAAAGUCAUUCACGAGUAUUAUUAUAUGAGAUUUGAAUGGUGAGGUGCCGGGAGCAAAGAUACAGAUCAACAGUAAUAUACCUACAGCUUUCACAACAGAAGCCAUUGCAUGUUUUCAAGCAACCAAAAUGGGUUUGGAUCUGAACCUUUCAAUGGUAAAAAUUGAGGGAGACUCGUUGUUAGUGAUCAAAAAAAUCAAAAAUUGAUUGGCAGAUAAGUCAUAAAUUGGAGCCUACAUGAAAGACAUACGAAAAUUCAGUGAGGAUUACCAGAACUGUGUCUUCAAGCAUGUUUCAAGAAUAGCAAAUAAAGGAGCCCAUUUGCUAGCAAUUGUAGGAAUCAAAGAGGAACAAUAAACUUACUUGGUUUUGAAGUGCCUGACAGUGUGAGGGUGAUAAUUGAAGAAGAUCAGAAGUGGAUACCUAAGACCACAUGAAAUGAUGAAAAGGAAAUGACGACUGAGAAGGGGAAGAAUAGGGAAAGUCUUAAUAGUGUCUGUUUGCCAAAUAGCAAUUAACUUUUUUUAGAUAUCUUUUGUUAUU
Molecule: long non-coding RNA, 8832 nt
Filed under: Gossypium barbadense (sea-island cotton)
Lineage: Eukaryota; Viridiplantae; Streptophyta; Magnoliopsida; Malvales; Malvaceae
Description: long non-coding RNA (GBAR_LNC004489)
Source: RNAcentral